RNAcentral lists this ribosomal RNA (253 nucleotides) under uncultured bacterium. RNAcentral describes it as "partial 16S ribosomal RNA". It matches the Rfam family "Bacterial small subunit ribosomal RNA", at positions 524 to 776 of the family's 1533-position model. The record is from RNAcentral.
UACAGAGACUGCAAGCGUUAUUCGGAUUCACUGGGCGUAAAGGGCGCGUAGGCGGGAUGGCAAGUCAGUCGUGAAAUCUCUCGGCUCAACCGAGAAACGUCGGCUGAUACUGCCGUUCUUGAGGGAUGCAGAGGAGACUGGAAUUCCCGGUGUAGCGGUGAAAUGUGUAGAGAUCGGGAGGAACACCGGUGGCGAAGGCGGGUCUCUGGGCAUUUCCUGACGCUGAGGCGCGAAAGCGUGGGGAGCAAACGGG